This 1674-nucleotide long non-coding RNA is filed under the name Chlamydomonas reinhardtii. RNAcentral describes it as "long non-coding RNA (CREI_LNC000395)". Lineage: Eukaryota; Viridiplantae; Chlorophyta; Chlorophyceae; Chlamydomonadales; Chlamydomonadaceae. The record is from RNAcentral.
GCCAACCAUCUGUCCAGGAACAGACACACUCGCCUGCCAUUGUUACACACUCGCCUGCCUUGGUACAAAGUCAGUAGCGCAGGAGAAUGUUCACGCGCCAAACUCUGCUAGAAAAAGGACAGCAACAAAGUUGCCGUCUCAUCAGAGAAGACAGUUGCAGCCACGACACCUGCACUUAACCCUCUGAACACUCCCAUGUGCACACCAAUCAGUGACGCGCCAUCCGCGCUUUCUACCCACCAAGGACUGCCAGAGGACCCUGGAGGCGUCUCGCCAAACAUAUUAGCCAUGGGCAAGACAGCGGCCCAUACGGCAAGACCACUCCGGGCCCGAGCACCUGCACGAUCCGUUGUCCGCUCGCCCUUUAAGGGGCUGCAGACGCAGGGUCCCACCAACCGUGCUGCCACACAGCAUCCGGAGCUUGGCUGGCUAGGGGAUCCGGCGGCAACCGGAACCCCUUCCAGGGAUCCCCGUUGCUCGCAACGGGGAUCGCUGGGAAGCGCACCAGCCCGACGUCUAAAACACCCCCUACCAGGACGUCACGGGCAUAACUUCUCACUUGUGACCUUUCGCGUUUCUAAAUCGAGAAAGCUAUAGGCAUUUGAUCAAGUAUAUCCAUUUGUUUCACAACGGGCCCGUACUCGCCGAGAUCAGCAAUCGCGACCACGCUGCGCCGAGCUCGCUGCCCCCGCUCGCCCGCAGCAUCUCGGCGAGUACGGGCCCGCUGUGAAACAAAUGGAUAUUCUUGAUCAAAUGCAUAUAGCUUUCUCGACUUAGAAACGCGAAAGGUCCUGACAGGCAAUGCCGAAGCAAUUGCCACUGACCAACGAACCAUCAGCAGCCACCACAAUCAUGAAAGGCAUGUUGGCAGCCUCUAGAAUGCUCAUUGCUCUGGGCUUGCCUUGCCUGUCCUCAGCUUCCGCCAUCGUCCGUAGCAACGCGCCUCAGCAUAUACAUUUGUGAUUUCUGCAACGGCAUGCAGCAAUUCAGUCGGUCGGAGGGCAAUUUAGUCGGAGAACAUGAACAGAAUCCGAAGGUUGCUGGAUCAAUCCCCAGAUACACACUUCCCAGCAUAUGUACUCUUCUGCCAGCAAGCCGCCCAGGGAUGGUCCGGCGGCAGCGUUUCUGGCAACUUCACCGGCUUCGCCGGUUCCUCUUGGCGGACGGUCGACCAGUAUAGCGCCGCAAGUCCUUUCGCGCGCUCCUCAGCCGACUUAAUUGGUCGUUGGUCUGCGGGGUGCGGGUUUUGCAGCAUGUUCGCUGAAGGGGGUAAAAAAAGAUGAAGACUGCUUGGCUGGCUAUUUCGUGUGUGCUUCUCAAUAGAACAUGGAUAUUAAACAAAGAGAUUAACGAGUUGCGUCGCACGAAGAUGCCAGUGCUCUAUCGCAAUGGUGCUCGCGAUGGGUCGAGACUACGCACCUGCUUUCAAGUGAAAGGGAUUCACUAGAUCACUAAGGGCACGUGUGCAGGCUGGCGUGACACGCACAGCGGGAGAUAGGGUUUUCGGCAAGCCGGGUACAGCAGCUGCACACACGCCACGGCAGCUCCAGCUAUCCGGAUCCGGUGCGGCCCCUACCUGCAAGCGCCUCAAAGUACAUGUGCCACGACACACCCUAAUCCCCAUCCCAACGACCUGGUCUCUCCGGCUGGCGGUUUCUAGGUAGCGGUCCGCGG